AUUGAACGCUGGCGGCAUGCCUUACACAUGCAAGUCGAACGGCAGCACGGGUGCUUGCACCUGGUGGCGAGUGGCGAACGGGUGAGUAAUACAUCGGAACAUGUCCUGUAGUGGGGGAUAGCCCGGCGAAAGCCGGAUUAAUACCGCAUACGAUCUACGGAUGAAAGCGGGGGACCUUCGGGCCUCGCGCUAUAGGGUUGGCCGAUGGCUGAUUAGCUAGUUGGUGGGGUAAAGGCCUACCAAGGCGACGAUCAGUAGCUGGUCUGAGAGGACGACCAGCCACACUGGGACUGAGACACGGCCCAGACUCCUACGGGAGGCAGCAGUGGGGAAUUUUGGACAAUGGGCGAAAGCCUGAUCCAGCAAUGCCGCGUGUGUGAAGAAGGCCUUCGGGUUGUAAAGCACUUUUGUCCGGAAAGAAAUCCUUGGCCCUAAUACGGUCGGGGGAUGACGGUAUCGGAAGAAUAAGCACCGGCUAACUACGUG
This 486-nucleotide ribosomal RNA is filed under the name uncultured bacterium. Its description in RNAcentral is "partial 16S ribosomal RNA". It matches the Rfam family "Bacterial small subunit ribosomal RNA", at positions 30 to 507 of the family's 1533-position model. The record is from RNAcentral.